GUGCUCACUUCAGCAGCACAUAUACUACAAGUGGAACGAUACGGAGAUCAGCAUGGCCCCUGUGCAAAGAUGACAUGCAAAUUCCUGAAGCGUUCCAUAUUUUU
This is a small nuclear RNA of Nannospalax galili (Upper Galilee mountains blind mole rat), 104 nucleotides long. The record is from Ensembl. NCBI's taxonomy places the organism in Eukaryota, Metazoa, Chordata, Mammalia, Rodentia, Spalacidae.